This 443-nucleotide ribosomal RNA is filed under the name uncultured bacterium. RNAcentral describes it as "partial 16S ribosomal RNA". It matches the Rfam family "Bacterial small subunit ribosomal RNA", at positions 338 to 795 of the family's 1533-position model. The record is from RNAcentral.
CCUACGGGAGGCAGCAGUGGGGAAUAUUGGACAAUGGGGGGAACCCUGAUCCAGCGACGCCGCGUGAGUGAAGAAGUAUUUCGGUAUGUAAAGCUCUAUCAGCAGGGAAGAAAGAAAUGACGGUACCUGACUAAGAAGCCCCGGCUAACUACGUGCCGGUAGCCGCGGUAAUACGGAGGGGGCAAGCGUUAUCCGGAUUUACUGGGUGUAAAGGGAGCGUAGACGGCGAUGCAAGUCUGAAGUGAAAGGCGGGGGCCCAACCCCUGGACUGCUUUGGAAACUGUAUGGCUGGAGUGCAGGAGAGGUAAGUGGAAUUCCUAGUGUAGCGGUGAAAUGCGUAGAUAUUAGGAGGAACACCAGUGGCGAAGGCGGCUUACUGGACUGUAACUGACGUUGAGGCUCGAAAGCGUGGGGAGCAAACAGGAUUAGAUACCCGAGUAGUC